This is a long non-coding RNA of Etheostoma cragini (Arkansas darter), 161 nucleotides long. RefSeq lists it as uncharacterized. NCBI's taxonomy places the organism in Eukaryota, Metazoa, Chordata, Actinopteri, Perciformes, Percidae. The transcript is spliced from 3 exons. The record is from RefSeq and is a predicted model, not a curated record.
AAAAAAAAGGAGAAAAGAAGAUAAUGAAAGAACAUUUCCCUGUUUGUAUGUUGGAGUGACGCCAGGCUGAUCCUGGCUUCAAAGAACUUGUCAACAAGCAGGGAUAUUUUAAAGCUUUCUUUUUUUUUUUACAUUUUUUUUUUAUUUUUGGUUUCAAUUCC